Molecule: ribosomal RNA, 468 nt
Filed under: uncultured bacterium
Lineage: Bacteria
Description: partial 16S ribosomal RNA
Rfam family: Bacterial small subunit ribosomal RNA
Source: RNAcentral
GACGAACGCUGGCGGCGUGCUUAACACAUGCAAGUCGAACGGAAAGGCCCUGCUUUUGUGGGGUGCUCGAGUGGCGAACGGGUGAGUAACACGUGAGUAACCUGCCCUUGACUUUGGGAUAACUUCAGGAAACUGGGGCUAAUACCGGAUAGGAGCUCCUGCUGCAUGGUGGGGGUUGGAAAGUUUCGGCGGUUGGGGAUGGACUCGCGGCUUAUCAGCUUGUUGGUGGGGUAGUGGCUUACCAAGGCUUUGACGGGUAGCCGGCCUGAGAGGGUGACCGGCCACAUUGGGACUGGGAUACGGCCCAGACUCCUACGGGAGGCAGCAGUGGGGAAUAUUGCACAAUGGGCGGAAGCCUGAUGCAGCAACGCCGCGUGCGGGAUGACGGCCUUCGGGUUGUAAACCGCUUUCUCCUGUGACGAAGCGUGAGUGACGGUAAUGGGUAAAGAAGCACCGGCUAACUACGUG